CCCCCGCGGAGGCGCCACCUCUAUGCGGUGCGGGGGAGCAACUGUGCCUCUGGUCGAAGGCACAGGCUAAGAGCGCC
This 77-nucleotide non-coding RNA is filed under the name unclassified sequences. The record is from RNAcentral.